Molecule: non-coding RNA, 1747 nt
Organism: Vicugna pacos (alpaca)
Lineage: Eukaryota; Metazoa; Chordata; Mammalia; Artiodactyla; Camelidae
Source: RefSeq, a predicted model, not a curated record
AUACUGUCAGCAGGGUCUCCUAACAGGGAAUAUGUGUUCCUCUGGUGCCUCUGGUAGCAAAUUCCCAUAGUUCAGGGUUACAUCAAAUUCCAUAACAACCCCGGCUAUUUCUUUUAGUAAGUAUCCAGGGUCUGGCUGACUCCAGUCCCUCACCUCAGCCUGGUUCAAGUUUGGAGAUGAUCAGACUAACAUUGUUUCUCUGUCCGCUCAGCGUGCAAACAUACUGUCUGCAGUUUUCUCUGGCUCAGUAUAAACAAGGAUUCGAUGCCUCCGCCAGGCUUCUGUUGCAACCACUGUAAGGUGGUCAUAACUACCGAGUAGCUGCAGUUGACAGUGACAAAAUCUCCCUCCUGGGCACUCAGCCCCAUUUUACAGACGACAGAACUGAUGAUCAGAGAGGCUAAGUAAAUUGUCCAAGGUCACGCACUGCUCCAAAGUGGUGAAGCUGGGAUUCAACACCAGCCUCUCCUAUGACGAAGAACUGUGAAAUAUCAUCAGGAGAGACAAAUUUGAAAUUCUGCCAAAGAGGAAGAAGAAAGAAGAAAGGAGAGGCCAAUGAAAGAGGUGGACCAUUCCAGAUUGAUCAUCUGCAGUCAGAGGAUUUCCAACAAAGCGAUCUGGUGUGUCUCCAUCUCUCUAUCAGCAGGAGUCGAGACAACAGUCACUCCUGUAUGGGCUUUUCCUGUGGAAGAAAAAAUUCUGAGCUCAGAGGAACAUCUGACAUCACUGGUUCUAAUUUUAUAAAAUUUUAUUUAAAUUUUGUAUUGAUAGUCACCAUACUGUACAUUACAUCCCCAGAACUUAUUAAUCUUCUAACUGGAUGCUUGUACCUUUUGGACAACUUUUGGGCUCUGAUGUUAACACAGCAAUCUCUGCUUUCAUCUUGACCACCCAUAAGUCUAUUCUCAACACAGCAGCCAGAAUGAGACUUUUAAAUGGAAGUCAGAUCAUAUCAUUCCUUUCCCAAAACCCUCCUGUGGCUCUUCAUUUCACCCAGUCCUUGGACAUGCUGGGCAUUUCCUAACUUAGGACUGGACUCUGUCCUCUGCCUGAAAAGCUCUUGCCCCAGAUAUCGUCAAGGUUCACUCCUUCAUCUUCUUCAAGUGUUGGCUCAAAUGUCCUCCUCUCAGUGAGACUACCUACUUCCCCUAAAACUGCAAGGGGAACCCCUUUCCCGUGGCCCCACCCAGCACUCUCUGUCCCCUUUGUGUUGCUAGAUUCUCAUCUCUAUGGACUUAUCUUCUAAUAGACUAUGCAAUUUACUUAUUAUGCUUAAUGCUUGUUAGAAUGGAAUCUCCAUGGACUCUGAUACCUUUGAGCAUUUUGUUAACAGGUGUAUCUCAGGUGCCUAGAAGAGACCCUGGCAGAGCGGACACUCAGUAAACACCUGUGGAAUCCAUUACUUAAUCUGAGAACAAGCACACGUUCUGCAUUUUGAAGGGACUAGACACAUUGCCUCAACGACCACACGCAUUCAACCAACCAUGUGCCAGCCACGGAGCCUGUUUCCUAGGCUGAGCGGUAGGGACAGCUGAUUCUCUGCGGGCCAGUCUCCCGGAGAGGGAGUCGGCUUCCUGUAGAGCUCCAGCCUGGUGAUCAAGUCCAUCAGUUUUGGAGGAGCGCUGAGGUGACCGGUCAGGACCAGAGGCCACAGGUUCCGUUUUCUGUUGCUGUAACCCCAUAGUUCGGAGCCCAGCCCCUGUGCUGGUGCUUGCCAGUAAUGCAGCUUAAAGUCUCCAUGGCUCAA